AAAGUUGUUUAUUCAAUACUUAUCAAACAUAAACAUAAAUAAAUAAAUAUAAAAUUAUUGAGCAUUGAUUCUAAAAUAUACCUUGGUUAAAAACAUCAGAUUGCAGUACAAGCUCAAUCAUAUAUAGUUUCAAACUAAGUAGAAAAUAUUAAUCUUUCUAUGCAAGAUCAGCAAAAACUGAUAUGAAGGUGCUAGAUCAGCAUUAAUUGAUAUAGAGGUGCUAGAUCAGCAUAUAUUGAUAUAGAGGUGCUAGAUCAGCGUAUAUUGAUACAGAGGUGCUAGAUCAGCGUAUAUUGAUAAAGAGGUGCUAGAUCAGCGUAUAUUGAUACAGAGGUGCUAGAUCAGCGUAUAUUGAUACAGAGGUGCUAGAUCAGCGUAUAUUGAUAUAGAGGUGCUAGAUCAACAUAUAUUGAUAUAGAGGUGCUAGAUCAGCGUAUAUUGAUAUAGAGGUGCUAGAUCAACAUAUAUUGAUAUAGAGGUGCUAGAUCAGCAUAUAUUGAUAUAGAGGUGCUAGAUCAUCGUAUAUUGAUAUAGAGGUGCUAGAUCAGUAUAUUGAUAUAGAGGUGCUAGAUCAGCAUUAUUGAUAGAGGUGCUAGAUCAGCAUUAAUUGAUAUAGAGGUGCUAGAUCAGCGUAUAUUGAUAUAGAGGUGCUAGAUCAGCAUUAAUUGAUACAGA
Haliotis rubra (blacklip abalone) is the source of this 675-nucleotide long non-coding RNA. RefSeq lists it as uncharacterized. The record is from RefSeq and is a predicted model, not a curated record. Lineage: Eukaryota; Metazoa; Mollusca; Gastropoda; Lepetellida; Haliotidae. The transcript is spliced from 8 exons.